RNAcentral lists this long non-coding RNA (348 nucleotides) under Mytilus galloprovincialis (Mediterranean mussel). Lineage: Eukaryota; Metazoa; Mollusca; Bivalvia; Mytilida; Mytilidae. The record is from RNAcentral.
GAUUAAGGAUGUACACCUCUGAGGAGCCAAAAAUUUCUAGAAUUAAACUUUUUUCUUAACCUGAUUUUUGGGUUUAUUAGACUGUAACAAAAUAAUUGGUGAAGAAAAAAUCAUAUAGUGGUGCACUUCUUUUUUUGCUACGGCCCUUUGAAAAUGCCCAAUUUUGAUGAUUUUCACAUUUUUUAUCGAUUUUUACCUAUUUUUGGGCUAUUAUCAUGAAAAAAAUCACAGUUCCACAAUUAAACUUUUUCUCAUACUUUCUAUAAAGAUGAAGUGGACCAAUCUGAAUAAAUUUUACUUACAAAAACUAUAGGUAGGUGUUAAUAUAAGAAAGUUUUAUCAUAUUUU